GUAAACUCCUGACCAUACAAAUACGGGGUAAGUUUCUUUAAUGCCCAGACCAGGGCUAAACACUCCUUUUCCACUGCCGCGUAAAUCACUUCUCUGGGUAACAAUUUUCUACUUAAGUACGCGACAGGGUGUUCUCCUCCAUCUUCCCCGAUCUGGCUCAGAACUGCCCCCAGUCCGUACAUGAAUGCAUCUGUAUGGACGAAAAAUAUUUUGUUAGGGACUGGGGCAGAUAGUAC
Pelobates cultripes (western spadefoot toad) is the source of this 236-nucleotide non-coding RNA. NCBI's taxonomy places the organism in Eukaryota, Metazoa, Chordata, Amphibia, Anura, Pelobatidae. The record is from the annotation of a GenBank genome assembly.